This is a long non-coding RNA of Marmota monax (woodchuck), 12964 nucleotides long. RefSeq lists it as uncharacterized. The record is from RefSeq and is a predicted model, not a curated record. The transcript has 4 exons. NCBI's taxonomy places the organism in Eukaryota, Metazoa, Chordata, Mammalia, Rodentia, Sciuridae.
GGUCCCGGGAACCCAGCCAUCGCGCUGCCGGAAGUGGCCUGGCCGGCGGUACGGAACCCGGAAGCGGGCCGGCUCCCCGCUCGGGGCUGCCAUGUUUCCCCGCGGCCUCCCGCCCCCGACCCCACCUCCCCGACCCCACCUCCCGGCGCGAGCCUCCCGCAGGACGUCGUCGCGCUCAGCGAGGCGCGCACUUGGCCAGCGAGACGCCGGCCCAUCUCCGCCCGGCACGCUGCGUUACGCCCUGAGGACCCGGGCCGCUUGGGACUGGCUUAGUACAAGCUGGAAGGUCAACAAAGCACCUUUCUCCAAGCCAAGAGGCAGUUUGGUUUUGAGGACUCAACAGAUCAUGGAGUUGGAAUCUAGAAUACAAACAUUCUGGGGAGAAAAAAAAAAACCACUGUAAACCAAAGAUCCAGGACUGGAUGUCACAAGAGAACACAAAAAUGAAAGAAAGCAUGGCUUCCACCACAACAAAAUCCCUUCUGGGUCUGCUGAUGAAGAAUGAAAUUCUUCCUGCACCUCCAAUCACCCGACAUGGCAUUUUCAGCAAAUUCUUCAGAGUGAAGUUUAAAUUCAGAAGCCCAGCCCCAGGGGCUACGGGUCAUUUGUGCUUUAGUUAGUAGAAAUAAUGAACGGCUGGUGUGCUCUGAGAUUUCUAACUUUAUAUUUCUCCUUAGUCCAAAUUGAAACAUAGGGGCUGGAGUUGUGGCUCAGUGGCAGAGUACUUGCCUACCAUAUGUGAGGCACUGGGUUCGAUCCUCAGCACCACAUACAAAUAAAUAAAAAAUAAAGGUACAUCAACAACUAAAAAAUACUUAAAAAACAACAACAACAAAAAAAAAAACAUAGCCCUUCUUUUAAUCCAUAAGAUGAUUCAACCAAAACAAAGAGGUUGUGGCUGACAAGUGGGUAGGAACCUUAAUGCGUCAAGAACUGCACUUGCAUUCUAGUUGAUUUCAUGCUGCAUUUCAGAAUCUCCAGGCUGUACAAGGUUGGGGUGGCAGACUUCAGAGGAAAAGCUGAAGAAAGUAGCUAGAUCCUCCUGAAAACAGCACAGGCCAAUGCAUCCUCUCAAGAGGAUCAGAUUCAACACAAAUUCCCCUUAUCAACUGCUCCUGCUUUCUGCAAGGGAGAGAACUUGACAACCUCAAAUCUCCUUUUCAAAUACUUAAAUUCUCUCCAAGUGCUAGACUGAUUUUCAGAUAUUAAUAUAAGUCCAAAGUCUGGCCCACCUUUAGACAGAAUGCAGUGCUCAUUUCCUUUCCUUACCCUUACUUCCUUUGAUGUGUUCUAGGAUCUGUGCUCCUUUCCCCCCUCCUCCCUUGUUUUUGUAAAUAUCAUUCCAUAGGUUACUUCCCUUCAUGAGAAAUGGAAUAUCGGUCUUUAACCCUACCUUCCUCUUUACAAAGGUGGGUAUUGGAUACAGAAUUAAGCUUGACUUUUCCAGGAGAAACGGAUCUAGUCUUAAUUGUGGCACUAUGAUCUACCUAGAUCAAAACAAAAAUUUUUUGUUCUAGAUCAGAACAAAAAUUUAAAAGUUCAAUACAGUUUCCAGUAAAAUAAAAAUUUCAUCAGUACUACCUAAAAUUCAAAAGAAAAUACAAACGUUAUGUCUGGCAAGGAUUUAUUAGGAAGCUUAUUAGUCACAGUGAAUAAAAGCCAUGAACAGAAGAACUCAAGAGCUUAUCUCCAAAUUCUGGCAUUGGGCUUACAACACAAAUUAGAAGCUAAUAAAACAUUAAGGAGAUUCCAAAGGGAAUUUUAACUAAGUCUCAGUCUUACCCCAACCAGGUUACCCACAAACACAAAUGAUUCCCAUGCUCUCCCCAGACUGCUUAGCUUGGCAGUGGGAAAGAUCUUCCCCCCCCAAGCUAUCACACAUCAUCAGGAGACUCCUGCCUUUCAAGCUAUAACCACGGGACACUGUGCAUGACGGACAACUCCAAGCUAGGCAACUUGACAAGAAUGCUGAGUAACAACAGGGAGAAGGAACAAGCAGGGACAAGUAUUUCUAGUUGGAGACCCUCCUGAUAGCUCACACAAACAAAAUCCUGAUGCUUCGGGUUUCCUGCAGCUCAGGAAGAGUUUCCAUUUAAAAGAAAAAGAAAAAAUCACAUAAAAAUCCUGCCACAAAGCAACAAGACACUUGGGAUCCCAUGGCCACAUCAACGGAAAAAGCAAGCAUUAUCCAUGACAGCCAGAUGCCACACAACCUAAGACCCAAUUUCUGCAGUGCCCUAGAGAACCACGAUUGUCCCUCAGCACCCACACAACCCUCACAGUGGUGUGGUAUCUUCCAUAGGCUGGAUUUCUGCAGCAAGCCCCAAAGAGAAAACGCAGCAGAGGCUGUGGCAACCAACUCUCACUGGAGCCUCAUCUCUGUCCUUCCCAACAGGUGGUACGUCUUCACUGACUGCACAUCUGUGGGAGCCUGGGCGGCCAGCCCUUAGGAAAUGAAGUGUGUCUGUGGGGUAACCUGAUGGACCCGGUGGUCUGCCGGGUUGGCUGAUGCUUCAUAAUUGCAGAUGGUCACUUCAUGUCGGCGAAGCUGCAAGAAAAUGGAGAUGCUGGGUAGGUGGGCCAUUAAGAAACUGUGGCUUCCCAGAACACACACUGGAGUAGUCUAUAGUCAGUCUCCUUUCUAGCAGAUGUCUCAAAGCUCCUCUCUUCUGACAUUUUUUUAUCUUGAGAAAUUUGCAAAGCUCAUUAUUAAGGUUUCACUUGCAACUGAGAUCCAUUCCCCACACUGUAAUGAGGGCACUAUGAGAAUAGGAGCUUGUUUAUCUUAUCAUCUUAUCUCUGGUACUUAGAACAAGGAUUAUCAAGAAUGCUUUUUGGUUUUGUUUGGUGCAGGAAGGGCCUUGAACAUGCUAAGCAUGCUCAAACACCGAGCUAUACUUCCAGUGCCCUGCUGAAAUUGCCAAAGGAAAAAAUUUGAAAGUGAAAAACUGUGAAUUAACAUAAAUUAUGUAAUUUCAAUUUUAAAAAUACCUAUAGUCUGUCAAAUGGGAACAUUUUAUAAUGAAGAAACCAAGAAAAUUUGUUUCGUUUGCUCUUUCCUUUCCCUUAAAAGCCCCCACUCUGAUGGUGUGCUGAUAUGUUUUUAUCAACCCCCCUCUUACCUCAGUCCAUUCUCCUCUCAGGCCAAUAUAAAAGACCUUUGUGGUAUCUGCUCCAAAAUUUUUUGAAAUAUGAAUCGAGAGAUGAUAGACAUUUGAAAAACGGGAAAUUCUAGAGGAUGAAACAAGAAAGAAGACAAGACACAGGUUACUGUCCAGUGAGCACCUCACAACCAGGGCACAACAGUUCAGCUCCAACAUAUGGUAAAACCCAGGCAAAUGUAAGGGAUCAAUCUUGGGUUCUUCCUCCUCAUUUUUCUCCUUUGGACAAUCAAUUCAUUCAGUGAAUCUUUCCUGAGCCAUCGCCAUAUCCUGUCCAAGGCAGCAGAGACACAAAGAUGAAUAAACACUGCUCCUCCCCUCAAGGGAAAAGGAAUGAGAAAUGCUGUGUAACUGGGCAGGGGUUCUGAAGCAUGCUUAGUGUUGAUCUAAGCCAUAGGAGAAAGAAAACUAAGUGAGCCUGCUAUAGGCCCACUAUGCAAAGAGGAAUUCCAAAAAAACAUUUCCUAAGACUAUCCUGGGAGCUCAUGCAGAUCUGCCAAUUGCUUACAAGUUCACAAGUCUGUGGCCUACACUGAUUUUCUGCCCCAAACUGACCAAGCCAAGGAUCAAGAUGCCUCCUCCACUUUUUAAACUCAUCUCUGAUGCUAAGAGGGCAGGAGAGUGGCCAAAAAUAAAUGGUAAGCUCUGUAAGCACUGCUGCAUAUGAGGAUAUGCUCACUGCAAACGAGAAGGUGCUACUGUUCCUCAGCAGGAGUGGAAGGCAGGUCCCAUGCUUACUUUGUAGCAUAUUCUAAUUCUCCAGUAAGAUCCCGGUUCAGACUAAAGGUCUGAUCUGGCUCCCUUUCUGUAUCAUCAAACGACAUCUGUGGAAUGUUCUUGUACCUGAGAAAGGAAAGGGGGGGGGGGGAAAAUCAAGAAAUGUGCACUAUCAGUUUUCAGGGUUUUUUUUAAGACUUCCUAUUGACUGCUCAACUGACUUUACUUCAAUUCCAUCUAAAGGAGAUAAAAAUUUGCAGUCAAAUUUUGGAAAUGGCAUUUUACUGAAAUUUAGACAUAAAUAUCCUUAAACCAACAAGAAACAGUAGUGUACACCAAUAGUCCCAGCUAUUCAGGAGGCUGAGGCAGGAGGAUUCACGUGAGCCCAGGGAUUCAGGGACAGCCUAGGCAAGAUAUUAAGAUACCUGUCUCCUUAAAGAAAGAGAGAGAGAGAGGAAGAAAAAAGAAAAGAGCUGAGAACUGCAACAUGAUCCAGUGGCAUCUCUGAGUGGGUUAAGAUCACAUGAGAAGCAAUACACAAAGAGGAGGCUCAAACUAGGUCACGUGCAGCAAAUGCAUGGAGAAAAUAAGCCACUCAGCACAUUCAUACCAAGCUGAGGAUGUGAAAUAAAACAGCCUACUCAUGGGAAAAAAGACACACUUUGGCAGAAGCAUAUUAAACAGUUAAGAGAUAAGAUCAGGUAACCCAAUAUUCAAGCAUUUUUUGUUUCUAAAAAUUACCCCAUACACUCAAUCAUCUUACAGUUCUUAAAAUAAUACAAUUUAGGGAUUUCCGAUUCCAAAGAGCACAAAAGCCUGCAAACUUGCAAAAGGCUUUGGCAAGUCAAGGUAUCACUGCAAUUUAAGAAAAUAUUUUUCAAAGGAAAAUCUAAGUAAUAGCAGUUUCUACAAAUUCUGCAGGACUAAGCCACAUACACCCACCAACAUGAAGGUGUUUUUAUUAACAUAUCUACAAAGGAAAGGCCCAGACUUCAGCAGCAGCAAAAUGCAUAUAAUUUUAAAAAGCAAAUGUUUGCUUCAAAGUGUUUCUAAGAAUGAUGCACAGCAGAAUGAUAAUAAUGAACAUUUAUGAGCAGUACUAUGAGAGCUAGUGCAGCUCUACAGUUAAAAGCAGUGUCUCAGGCUGGGGGGUGUAGCUCAGAAGCAGAGUGCUUGCCUAGCAUGCCAGAGGCCCUGGUUCAAUCUUCAGCACUGGAAGGAAAAAAAAAUAGUGUCUUAACCUAUAGGAUUGCAGAAAAUAUUUGUGAUCUAUUCAUUAGUUAUCAUAAGGGAUUAAUGGCAAGAAUACAUAUGGAACAACCCAACAGCAAAAACACAAAUAAUUCAAUUAAAAAACAGGCAAAUGAACUUGUAGUACACGCCUAAAAUCUUAGCUACUUGAGAGGCUGAGGCAGAAGAAUCAAAACUGAGGCCAGCCUGAGCAACUUAGUGAGACACUAUUUCAAAAUAAAAAAUAAAAAGAGCUUGAGAUAUAGCUCAGUGGUAGCAACCUCAGGUUCAAUCCCCAGUACUGGGAAAAAAAGGGGGCAGGCAAAAGAACUGAAUAGAGUUUCUCAAAAGAAGUUAAAGGGCCAACAAAUAUAUGAAAAAAUGCUCAAAAGUACUACCCAUCAGGCAAAUAGAAAUCAAAACCACAACGAAGGGCUGGGGAUGUGGCUCAAGUGGUAGCGUGCUCGCCUAGCAUGCAUGAGGCACUAGGUUUGAUUCUCAGCACCACAUAAAAAUAAAAUAAAGAUAUUUUGUCCACCUAAAAAACUAAAAAAAAAAAAAAGUAUUAAAAAAAAAAAAAAAAAACACAACGAGAUAUCAACUCACUUCCAUUAGGAUGGCUAUUAUCAAAAAUCCAGAAAAUAAAUGCUGGUAAGGAUGCACAGAGAAAGGAGCUCUUCCACAUGUUGGUGUGACGGAAAACAGUAUGAACAAUCCUAUAGACAGAGAACUACUAUAUGAUCCAGCAAUUCCAUUAUGGGGCAUAUAACAAAAGGAAAGGAAUCAGUACGUUAAAGAGACAUCCAUACUUCUAUGUUCACUGCAGGGCUGUUCACAGCAGUCAAGAUAAGGCAUCAAUCUAGGUAUCCAUCAGCAGGUGAAUGGAUGAAGAAAAUGUGAUACAUACACUCACACACACACACAUAUGUGUAUGUAUGUAUAUGUGUGUGUAUAUAUAUAGAUACAUAUACAUACACUAUGAACAUUAAGUGAAUUACAGCAAAGAUAGACAAAUAUUGCAUGUUCUCACUUAAGAGUGUAAGCUAAAAAGUUGAUUUCAUGGAAGUAGGUAGAAUGGUUAGAGAUCGGGAAGAGUGAGGGAAGAGGGAAUGAAGAUAGGAUGGGUAAUCAGUAUAGGGAUACAUUGGAUAGGAGGAAUACUACUAAUGUUCUUCUUUUUUUUUUUUUGGUACCAGAGAUUGAACUCAGGAGUGCUUCUAUUACUGAGCCACAUCCCCAGUCCUUUCUAUUUUUUUAUUUUGAGACAGGGUCUCACUAAGUUGCUGAGGGACUUGUUGAGUUGCUCAGGCUGGCCUCAAACUUGCAAUCCUUCUGCCUCAGGCUCCUAAAUCAACGAGAUUACAGGUGUGCAUCACUGCCCAGAUUCUAAUGUUCUUAAUAGCACAGUAGGAUAACUAUAGUUGAUGACAAUUAGUUGUAUAUUUCAAAAUAGCUAGCAGAGAAUAUUUAAGGUUGGGGGGAUGGGAAGGGUAAGGCUGCCUGGGAUUGAACCUAAGGCUUCAUGCAGGCUAGGCAAGUGCUCUACUACUGAGCUACAUCUGCAGCCCUAGUGAUAAUUUUGAAUGUUCCCAACACAAAGAAAUGGCAAAUGUUUAAGGUGAUGGUUAUAUCAAUGAUCCUGAACAUUUGUGUGUAUGAAAUAUACUGUACUCCAUAAAAAUAUGCACAAUUAUUUUGUUUUGUUUUGUUUUGUUUUAAAGAGAGAGUGAGGGAGAGGGAGGGGGAGAGAGAGAGAGAGAGAGAAUUUUUUAAUAUUUAUUUUUUAGUUCUCGACGGACACAACAUCUUUGUUUGUAUGUGGUGCUGAGGAUUGAACCCGGGCCGCAGCGAGCGCGCUACCACUUGAGCCACAUCCCAAGCCCUGCACAAUUAUUUUGUGUCAAUUAAAAUAAUAAUAAAGAUUAAAAAGAGAUAAAUAGCAGUAUCUCUGGAGCUACACUUCUAGGUCUAAAGCUGGCUGUCACUUACCAGCUGUGUAAUUUUGGACAAGUGAUUUAACCUCUCUGUGUCUCAGUUUCCUCAUCUGUAAAAUUGGGAUAGUGACAAUACAUAGUCCAAACAGUUGAUAUGAAGAUUAAAUUGGAUCAAUUCUAAGAGUUGCAUAUAUUAAAACUUAAAAUUUUAUGAAAAACUACAUUCACAAAAGCAGACAGAAAAUAAUGAACUACAUACCUUACUACUCAGCUUAAUUAACAAAUUUAUGCUGAUUUUGCCUAUCACCCCUAUUUUGUUUUUGUUUCAUAUUUCAGUGCAAUCCCAGAUAUACCAUUUCACCCAUAAAUACUUUAGUAUUUCUGAAUAAAACUUUUAAAAAUAUUUUUUUUAGCUGUAGAUGGACACAAUACCUUUAUUUUAUUAAUUUAUUUUUAGUGGUGCUGAGGAUUGAAACCAGUGCCUCACACAUGCCAGAACAGUGCGCUAUCACUGAGCUACAACCCCAGCCCUGAAAAAGAUUUCUUAAAAAAAAAAAAAAAGAUGCUAGGGCUGGGGCUAGAGCUUGGUGGCAGAGAGUUUGCCUAGCAUGUGUGAGGCACUGGGUUUGAUCCUUGGCAUUGCAUUAAAAAUUAAACAAAAUAAAGGCAUUCUGUCCAUCUUCAACUACAAAAUUUAAAAAAAAAAGAUAUUCUUUUACAGUAAUUAACAAUAUUAAUAAUUAGCCAAGCUAACAACAAUUCUUUCUUCUCUUUCUUUUAUGGUACUCAGGUCAAACCUGGGACCUUGGGUAUGCUUGGCAAGCACUUUACUACUGAACUAUUUACCCUCUGCAACAGUAAUUCUUUAAUAUCAUCUAACAUCUAUACUUGGUAUUCACAUACUUCGAUUUAAGAUUCUCAAUUUAGCUGGGCACGGUGGCAAACCCCUAUAAUUCCAGCAACUCAGGAAGCUGAGGCAGGAGGAUCUCAACUUUGAGGCCAGCCUCAGCAACUUAGCAAGACCCCAUCUCAAAACUCAAAAAAAAAAAAGGACUAGGGAUGUAACUUGGUGGAAAAGCCCCCCUGGGUUCAAUUCCUGGUAUCCCCCAAAAUUCUUUUUUUUUUUUUUUUUAAAGAGAGAGAGGGAGAGAGAGCCCAAAAUUCUUAAUUUAACUUUUUUGGAUGUGUCAAUGAUAUGUCAUUGCUGACCAGGAAUCAUUGUUUCUUUUUAUAAACUCUACCUAAAAUAAUAGUGUGUUUACAAUGACAUCUUAGAUUCAGAGAAAUGUUAUAUAUGUAGUGUGUUAGAACUAUUAAGUAUUUGUACCUGCUCACCCAAAAACUGGGCCUGUAUUAUGUUCCAGACCUAUUCUAAGUUCUUUACAUGUUGGAUCUCCACAACCUCGAGGUUAUACUCUUAUUCUUCCUAUUUUACCUGAGAAAAUAGGCAUGAAGUUAUGUAAUGUCCUAGUCAUGCAGCAGCUAGCCAGUAUGCAGCCAGAAUUUGAACCCAAUUUACCUCACAGCCCACUCUUAAUCCAAAGCAACAGGGAUAUCCUGAAGUCAGCCCAUCUUCCUAGUAACUGAGUCUCCAAAAGCAUCAGUCCAAACAAACAAUUUUUUUAAAAUGACUGCAUGUAUAAAUCUGCUUUUAAAUUUGUUUUAUAAUACUUAAAAAUGGUAUCAAGUUAUCAAAUCUCUCUAAAGUCCAUUUAAACUGGAUCAAUUUUUCAGAUUAAAAAAAUUUUUUUUCCUCUUUUUCUUACAGUGCUGAAGAUCAAACUUGGGGCCUCAGGCACACUAAGCACACACUCUAUCAUUGGGCACCAUCUUGGAUAAAAAAAAAAAAAAAAAAAAAGAUUUUUUUGCGGGGGAGGUGGUGGUAUUGGACUCAGCAGCACUCUACCACUGAGCUACAUUCCCAGCCCUUUUUAUUUUUUAUUUUGAGUCAAGAUCUCACUAAGUUACUUAGAGCCUCACUAAGUUGCUGAGGCUGCUCUCAAACUUGCAAUACUUCUGCCUCAGCCUCCUGAGCUGCUGGAAUUACAGGCAUGCACCAUCACAAUCCAGCUGGAUGGUUUUUUUUUUAAUGUAAAAUUAUUCUGUUAUUUGUUUCUCAGAACUCAGAAAAAAAUUUUUCCUCUUUUAGACUACACUUGAAAAAAGUAAGUUGUCUAAAAGGAAGUACUAACUCUGGUGGCAACAGAUCUAGUGUCAUAAAAGAUACACAGAACUUAGCCAUAUAAAGGCACACAAACUCAGACAAAGCAAUCUCAUGUCAACAUAACAUCUGCAAAGAUGACGACUGAGUGAAAUACCAAGGAACAUUUUGAAGCUCAUCCCAAGAGUGGAAUCCAUAAAGAUCGUUUGAGAUCUGCAGCUGGGUUAUUAAGAAAACUGCAAAGUCAUCAACAGUUGGCAUUUAUAGAAUGCUCUCUGAAUGAAUGAUGCCACAGUACGCACUUUGAAAAUGAGACAAGCUGUUGGCCCUGAAGAUGUUUAAUCUAAACAAGUCACUGGGAUGGGGAUGUAGCUCAAUGGUAGAGUGCUUGCCUAGCAUGUGUGAGGCCUUGGGUUCAAAAAUAAAGAAAUAAAAAAUAAAGAGAUAAGUGUAUUCCCACAUAAAUAACAAGAUCAAAAGGGAGAAUAUCAAAUCUAAUAAAGAAAAAUUAUAUUUUAAGAGGGAGAAUAUCAAAUCUAAUGAAGAAAAAUUAUAUUACUAUGGAAUAAAGUGUUACUAAAGAAAGAAAUAGAACUAAAAGGUUCUUGAGGGCCUAAGCCUGUCCACUUACAGUCUCAUCUCAGAGGGGUGUGAGUCAUCAUCCUCUCCCAUUAUAAUGAUGCCUUUGAGCUUGACAUUGCCCGUAAAUCUGCCAGAAUGCAAAAGAGAAGGUUGUCAACCUGGGAUUGUAUCCCUACUUAGCUGUGUGACCCCUAGUCAAGACCCUUCCCCUUUCUGACCUUCAAUGUACUCAUCUGUCAGACUUGUACUUGAUCAUUUCUAAGAUCAUGUCCACCUCUGGCAUUAUGCAAUUCUAAGAAAUUUACAUCUACUUUUCAGUUAUUGCUCAACAAAUAUAUCUGCUUCCAGUUUGCAUCAAAAGAGUUAUGAUGCUCUCCUCCUAAAACCCACCAAAGUAUUAUCCCAUUUCUACAAACAGAUGUGUGCUCUUGACCCAAGCAAUGAAUGAAUCCAUCUGAGAAGACAAUUGUGUACAGCCUAUUUAGCCUGAAGCAGACACCAAGGAGAUACUUACGGAAUAUUAAACAGAAGCUCUUCAUCUGCAUCACUUUCAACAAACUGGAGAGAAUGGGGAGGAGGGAGGAGAAAGCAACAAAUAUUUGCUGAGAGCCUAUGUCUUCAGGCAUCUCCCACCCUGUUCUGCAAACUGGAGUACAAUGCAGUCAACCUUCCUCGGUUUUCCAGGACUUAUUAAUUUGAAACUAAUAUGUCUAUCCACAGAGUUCUGAUAAAGACCAUCCAAUUAGAGGUUUCCUAACCCGGAGUCUCCUGAAUUACAAAUUGAGAGAUCAGUGCUCAUGUGCAUUUUUCUGGAGAGGGUCCAUAACUUUCAACCGGCUUAGCUCUCAAGGGGGCCUGCGCUCUAGAUCGGAAACACCCAUGGUCUCCCUUGCCCGUCCUCACCAGGUGACACGAUCACGCAGCCACUGGGACCAAUGGUCAAACAGAAGGGAAAACGCCCUCACGGCCAUCCUCCUCCUAACCCAGGCAGCCUUGGAACACAGCGUUACGCUGUGUAGAGCCAAGCGCCCGCUUCCACUCUCCGGGACUCAGUUUCCGUAUCUGCAAAGCGGGGAAGAUGGCCCUGCUCGCCUCCCAAAAGGCAAGCGCGAGGCCGGCAGCGGAAAGCGCCUGGCGACCUGGCUGUCGUUAUUUUUAGCAUCAAGAGUGAGGCUGACAGAGCAGCCGGGUGUCCGAAGGCCCCGCGGAUCCCGCCCCGCCCGCCCCGGCGCCGGCAGCCCACCUUGGAGCGGUCUGUCCGCUCCUCCCACGGCUUGAAGACGCCGCGGCCGCUGCCCUCGCGGCUCUCGUUGAGGCACUGCAGCCGCUCCAGGUCGAUGCGCAGGUACAGGCCGUAGGCCAGGCCGCGCUGCUCCGGCGGCUCCUCCCGUUCCGCGGCGCAGCGACAGCCGCCCCCGCCGUGGCUGUGGCCAUGCGACAUGGCGACGCCGCCACCCGCGCGUCCCCUCGGCCCCGCUGCCGCUCGCGCAGCUCUCUCCCGGCUGCCCUGCGGCCGCCAAGCGCAGUGUCUGACGCGUCGUAAAAGGCGCCCCUGAGCGGCGCAUGCGCCCGCUGGGGAGGGGGCGUGGAUGUGGGCGUGGCUACGAUGGGCGUGGUUCUGAUGGGAAUGGCUCGGGCGGACUUUGACAGGCGUCUUCCUAUCAACACCGGCUUCAGAGCCGUGGAAACCGAAGGGUAGAGAUGCUGCUGGUGUUAUCAGCAGACUGUGGUGCGGGAUUCGAAUCCCUCUCCCCGAGAUUGAAGUCUGCGCUUUCUUCUUCAGCUGCCACGUUUCACUGGAGCUGGUGGAGCAAGGCGCGCGGAGUGCUAAGGCCCUGAGCUCUUACCACGGCUCUUAUCAGUGCCUCACACGUGCGCUCGGGCGUGGAGAGUUCACACACCCAAUUUCCCAACCACGUUCUUGAUAGCGGGCUUUGUGGACCUCCUGACCCGGAGACAAGUGCUAGGAUGGUAUGACGCUCUGAAUAAGUCAUUUACCCUAUUCUGAGACUGUUUCCUUGUCUGUAAAGUGGGAAGAAUAUUAAAUGAAAUAAUGCGAUUCAAGAUCCCAGAGUGAUGACUGACACAAGAAUAGAAUGCUCUGUGAUAGAAAGAGGAAAACCAGGAUCCCAGGAAGUUCUGAGAUACUCUGAACUUCACAGCAGGCUCAGGAGUGCCACGACCAGAACCCACCAUGUGCAGCCUCAGCUGGAGCCAAGAACCAUGUGCCUGCAUGGAGAGGAACACCACACUGUGGCUCCCUAUCCACCAAAGUGUGACUGCACCCAAACCACCUACAUCUUGGGACAUUACAGCCACAGCCAUAGCCCUUUCCACAUGGUAAUCUCCACUGUGGGACAAUGGACAGGGCCAGGAGGCAGCUGUCUGCUGCAGCACUGCGUGCCACACUGUGCCAUCACCGAACAGGCUGCCCAAUGCUAUCACACAGCCCAUCCUCCCAGCCCCAUCUGUGAAAGUGGAUGCCUCCAUCUUGGGACACCUCAACUGCCAUAUUGGGUUACCUCCACUGCCACCUCCGCCAUAUUUAGUUGGGGCAGAUUCCAUCUUGGGACACCAACUGAGGCCUGGAACCCCAAUAGCAAGGUACCUACAGGCUUGAUGCUAUUGCUGCCACCAACUAGGAAUGUGGCCACUUCUAUCUAGGGACAAUAACCAGGAACUGUAAGACCAUCACCAAGGUCUCUGGGGGCCCAGUGGCACCAGAAGUAUCCCUAUUAGGUGUGCUAACAGUCACCAUCCUGUUGCAGAGGCAACAGGGAGCCUUGCAUAGGGUAGCCUCUCUCUCCUUUUUUUUUCCCUCCUGCUAACAGCCAACUUCUGUUGAUUUCCCUUUCACUCUUCCUAUAAUCUAAUACCUCUAUAUUCUCACAUCCUACCUCAUAAACAUCACAUCCUACUCCCUUCCCUCUCUCUCUCUGUUCACCACUACAAACUCUAAACCCUAUUCAAACCUACUGCCUUUAUGGUAGAAGAUAACCAAACUCAUCAUUUCUGUUUAUAGUGGCAAAACUGUAUCUAAAUAGAAGCUAAUUGAUUUAUAGCUGCAUAGUUGCAUCGGGUGCUGUACACGUUGAUCUUUCUUUCUUUCUUUCUUUCUUUUUUAAAGAGAGGAGAGAGAGAGAGAAUUUUUUAAACAUUUAUUUUUUUUUUAGUUAUUG